ACAUGCAAGUCGAACGGUAACAGAGCUAGCAAUAGCUGCUGACGAGUGGCGUAUGGGUGCGUAACGCGUAUGCAACCUACCUGUAAUUGGAACAUAACGUUGAGAAAUUAGCGCUAAUAUUCCAUGUGGAUAUGAGACGGCAUCGUUUUAUAUUUAAAGAUUUAUUGAUUACAGAUGGGCAUGCGUAUCAUUAGCUAGUUGGUAAGGUAACGGCUCACCAAGGCAACGAUGAUUAGGGGUUCUGAGAGGAUAUCCCCCCACACUGGAACUGAGACACGGUCCAGACUCCUACGGGAGGCAGCAGUAGGGAAUAUUGGGCAAUGGAGGCAACUCUGACCCAGCCAUGCCGCGUGAAGGAAUACAGCCCUACGGGUUUUAAACUUCUUUUAUUAUAGAGUAACCGGAGGUACGUGUACCUCCCUGCAAGUAUAUAAUGAAUAAGGAUCGGCUAACUCCGUGCCAGCAGCCGCGGUAAUACGGAGGAUCCGAGCGUUAUCCGGAUUUAUUGGGUUUAAAGGGUGCGCAGGCUGAUCGAUAAGUCAGGGGUGAAAAAUUUCAGCUUAACUGGAAUCGUGCCUUUGAUACUGUCGGACUAGAGUGUAACUGACGUGACUGGAAUGUGCCGUGUAGCGGUGAAAUGCUUAGAUAUGUCACAGAACGCCAAUCGUGAAGACAGGUCACGAAGUUACUACUGACGCUCAUGCACGAAAGCGUGGGGAUCAAACAGGAUUAGAUACCCUGGUAGUCCUAGCCGUAAACGAUGGGUACUAGGUGUAGGUGGUUUCGAUACCAUCUGUGCCGUAGUUAACGCAUUAAGUACCCCGCCUGGGGAGUACGUGCGCAAGCAUGAAACUCAAAGGAAUUGACGGGGGCCCGCACAAGCGGUGGAGCAUGUGGUUUAAUUCGAAGCAACGCGAAGAACCUUACCAGGUCUUGACAUCCCUGGACAGCUGUGGAAACACAGUUUCCCUUCGGGGCCAGGAGACAGGUGGUGCAUGGUUGUCGUCAGCUCGUGUCGUGAGAUGUUGGGUUAAGUCCCGCAACGAGCGCAACCCUUGCCUUUAGUUGCCAUCAUUAAGUUGGGCACUUUAAAGGGACUGCCGGUGAUAAACCGGAGGAAGGUGGGGAUGACGUCAAAUCAUCAUGCCCCUUAUGUCCUGGGCUACACACGUGCUACAAUGGUCUGUACAGAGGGAAGCGAAGCAGUGAUGUGAAGCGAAUCCCAGAAAACAGAUCUCAGUUCGGAUUGUAGGCUGCAACUCGCCUAUAUGAAGCUGGAAUCGCUAGUAAUCGCAGGUCAGCAUACUGCGGUGAAUACGUUCCCGGGCCUUGUACACACCGCCCGUCACACCACGGAAGUUUGCAACACCCAAAGCCGGU
This 1380-nucleotide ribosomal RNA is filed under the name uncultured prokaryote. RNAcentral describes it as "bacterial SSU rRNA". It matches the Rfam family "Bacterial small subunit ribosomal RNA", at positions 53 to 1431 of the family's 1533-position model. The record is from RNAcentral.